GUUUGCACUUGUCGGGGAAGGGUGAGAACCUUCGAUUAAGGUUCGACUCGAGCGAAAGAACGUUGCCACCGGUAACGGCCCGUAGGGUGAGGAGUGAAGCGACGAAUAAUCCUUCCACCACCACCA
RNAcentral lists this small RNA (126 nucleotides) under Salmonella enterica. RNAcentral describes it as "RtT sRNA". It matches the Rfam family "RtT RNA". From Rfam's summary of the family: This family represents a bacterial cis-regulatory element known as RtT RNA. The exact function of RtT is unknown although it is thought that it may be involved in changing the cellular response in relation to amino acid starvation. RNAcentral also lists the same sequence under 12 other names. The record is from RNAcentral. Lineage: Bacteria; Pseudomonadati; Pseudomonadota; Gammaproteobacteria; Enterobacterales; Enterobacteriaceae.